UACGUAGGGUGCAAGCGUUGUCCGGAAUUAUUGGUCGUAAAGGGCUCGUCGGCGGUCUGUCACGUCGGGAGUGAAAACUCAGGGCUUAACCCUGAGCCUGCUUCCGAUACGGGCAGACUAGAGGUAUGCAGGGGAGAACGGAAUUCCUGGUGUAGCGGUGAAAUGCGCAGAUAUCAGGAGGAACACCGGUGGCGAAGGCGGUUCUCUGGGCAUUACCUGACGCUGAGGAGCGAAAGUGUGGGGAGCGAACAGG
RNAcentral lists this ribosomal RNA (253 nucleotides) under uncultured bacterium. RNAcentral's name for it is "partial 16S ribosomal RNA". It matches the Rfam family "Bacterial small subunit ribosomal RNA", at positions 524 to 776 of the family's 1533-position model. The record is from RNAcentral.